UGUGGUUAUUCCUUAGGUGUUUUCUAAGUUUCUUUUGCUUAUUUCUGUCUAACAUCUAUUUUCUUGUUUGCAUUUACUUAUUUCCUAUGAGAUCGACCUCUGCUUACUCUAUAUAUAAAUAGUUUAGGUAUAGUAUUUUUUAAUUAGUGCAUUCAGCACGCAUUAGCUACUUCUAUUUUAUUCUGGAUUUCUGAUCAAUAAUACAUUCUUUCUUCUCUUCCUAUUUUCCAUUCUCUAUUUCCUAUCUCUAUUUAUCUAUUCUUCUCUUCCUAUUCUAUUCUCUACUCUAUUUUCUCCCCUAUUUACAUAAUGUUAGGG
RNAcentral lists this unclassified non-coding RNA (318 nucleotides) under Hevea brasiliensis (rubber tree). The record is from RNAcentral. Lineage: Eukaryota; Viridiplantae; Streptophyta; Magnoliopsida; Malpighiales; Euphorbiaceae.